RNAcentral lists this ribosomal RNA (458 nucleotides) under uncultured bacterium. Its description in RNAcentral is "partial 16S ribosomal RNA". It matches the Rfam family "Bacterial small subunit ribosomal RNA", at positions 338 to 795 of the family's 1533-position model. The record is from RNAcentral.
CCUACGGGUGGCAGCAGUGGGGAAUAUUGCACAAUGGGGGAAACCCUGAUGCAGCGACGCCGCGUGAGUGAUGAAGUAAUUCGUUACGUAACCCUCUAUCAGCAGGGAAGAAACACUGAGCUUACUGUCAACAGACCGUAGCUGAGUAACAAUCCCCCGCUCACUACGGGCCAGCAGACGCGGUAAUUAGUAGGGAGCAAGCGUUGUACGGAUUUACUGGGUGUAAAGGGAGCGUAGACGGUACGCCAAGUCUGAAGUGAAAUGCCGCAGCUUAACUGCGGAACUGCUUGGGAAACUGGCGAACUGGAGUGCGGGAGGGGUAAGCGGAAUUCCUAGUGUAGCGGUGAAAUGCGUAGAUAUUAGGAGGAACACCAGUGGCGAAGGCGGCUUACUGGACCGUAACUGACGUUGAGGCUCGAAAGCGUGGGGAGCAAACAGGAUUAGAUACCCUUGUAGUC